AUUGAACGCUGGCGGCAGGCCUAACACAUGCAAGUCGAGCGGAGCGAGGGACGGGCGAGUAAUGCAUAGGAAUCUGCCUGGUCGUGGGGGAUAACGUCAGGAAACGGGCGCUAAUACCAUAUCCUAUCAGAUGAGCCUAGGUUGGAUUAGCUGGUUGGUGGGGUAAAGGCCUACCAAGGGGACGAUCCGUAACUGGUCGGAGAGGAUGAUCAGUCAGACUGGAACGGAGACACGGCCCAGACUCCUACGGGAGGCAGCAGUGGGGAAUAUUGGACAAUGGGCGAAAGCCUGAUCCAGCCAUGCGCCGUGUGUGAAGAAGGUUUUCGGAUUGUAAAGCACUUUAAUUUAGGAGGCGGUACCAACAGAAUAAGCACCGGCUAACUUCGUGCCAGCAGCCGCGGUAAUAC
This 407-nucleotide ribosomal RNA is filed under the name uncultured bacterium. RNAcentral's name for it is "partial 16S ribosomal RNA". It matches the Rfam family "Bacterial small subunit ribosomal RNA", at positions 30 to 526 of the family's 1533-position model. The record is from RNAcentral.